CCGUAGUAGGAGAUACCAUAGUGACUUGGCUUUGGGGUGGUUUCUCCGUGGACAAUGCCACCUUAAAUCGUUUUUUUAGUCUUCAUCAUUUACUCCCCUUUCUUUUAGUAGGCGCCAGUCUUCUUCAUCUGGCCGCAUUGCAUCAAUAUGGAUCAAAUAAUCCAUUGGGUGUACAUUCAGAGAUGGAUAAAAUUGCUUCUUACCCUUAUUUUUAUGUAAAGGAUCUAGUAGGUUGGGUAGCUUUUGCUAUCUUUUCUUCCAUUUUUAUUUUUUAUGCUCCUAAUGUUUUGGGGCAUCCCGACAAUUAUAUACCUGCUAAUCCGAUGCCCACCCCGCCUCAUAUUGUACCGGAAUGGUAUUUCCUACCGAUCCAUGCCAUUCUUCGUAGUAUACCUGACAAAGCGGGAGGUGUAGCCGCAAUAGCACCAGUUUUUAUAUGUCUGUUGGCUUUACCUUUUUUUAAAAGUAUGUAUGUACGUAGUUCAAGUUUUCGCCCGAUUCACCAAGGAAUAUUUUGGUUGCUUUUGGCGGAUCGCUUACUACUAGGUUGGAUCGGAUGUCAACCUGUGGAGGCACCAUUUGUGACUAUUGGACAAAUUUCCCCUUUUGUUUUCUUCUUGUUCUUUGCCAUAACGCCCAUUCUGGGACGAGUUGGAAGAGGAAUUCCUAAUUCUUACACGGAUGAGACUGCCUGAAAAGUGAGAAAUUCUGACACCCAUCAUUUUCGAGUGAGUAUUACACC
This 742-nucleotide long non-coding RNA is filed under the name Lactuca sativa (garden lettuce). RNAcentral's name for it is "long non-coding RNA (LSAT_LNC009978)". The record is from RNAcentral. Lineage: Eukaryota; Viridiplantae; Streptophyta; Magnoliopsida; Asterales; Asteraceae.